This 142-nucleotide small nucleolar RNA is filed under the name Drosophila erecta. RNAcentral's name for it is "snoRNA:GG26069". Lineage: Eukaryota; Metazoa; Arthropoda; Insecta; Diptera; Drosophilidae. The record is from RNAcentral.
GUAAGCCCAUUCGGUAUUUCAAUUGGUUGUUUCAAUGAACACUUGUUCAACUUGAGCUGACGGGCUAAAGUAAACUUUCACUUGGUAUACUGACUCUUGGAUGAAUUAGCCACAUCCAAUUGCCACGAGCCCAAGGACACGA